ACACACAUUUGGACCAUAGCACACAGUUGGGUCAUAAAGCCAGGGUUCCGAGGCAAGUCUGAGGUCAUCAGCCAAGGGUGUCUGCAUCGGACAACACUCAACUCGGGAUUGGCACCCAGCCAGUGCCCUACACUAUACAAGAUGCCACUGUAGGGACAGGGAUGACCUCUAGCAAGGUGACCCUCAGUGGGCCAGAGGGGGCUUCUGAAGAGAAUUUCUCUAGCUUCUUGGUGUUUCCUGCCUGCUACUUUCAAACAAGGGUCCCAUUUUUAAUGUUUUCCCAGUAAUACCUUAUGAAUGUUAUUGCAAAGGAACCAGAGGAUGAUCAGGAGGGUGAGGAAAAGAAAAAGAUGAAAGCCCUGUCUAAGAUGCCCACAAGUUCUCUAGUUUGCAUUUGUUCCCUUGGUGAGCAGAAGGGUGCAAGUCCUCUCUUACUGUGAUGUGAGGAACCUAUAUCAUCCCAGGGCACAAGAGGGUGAAGUUGGCCAUCUGUGCCCUUCUCUGCCUUGUACCCUAGGCACGCCCCUCCUGUAGAUCCCAGUUUCUCUUUCUGCCAAAAAGGGGGCAGACCUGGUGAGUAGCUAAAGUUCCUUCCGGCCUGAAGGCCCCUCAAAGGUUUUCUCCUGUGCCUUCCCCACAGCCCGGGUCUGCACUCUACUGGGAUUUGCUGGGCUAGAUUCUCAGAGGAGCUCAACAUUGAUUGAGUUCCUCGCUCCACGUUAAAUCUUUGGAAAAUUAACUAAAGAUCUCCUAGUAAGAUGCUUGUAACUUACUACAUAAGGUGAAAUAGUGACUUUACAGUACAAAAACUAUAACCCAAGUAUUACCACCAGCAGCGGGCUAAAUCAACACCACAGGCCCCGUGAUCAAUAUAUGUGAUGAGGACAUUACAUCCUGGUGUUGUUGCCCCAAGUCUUGACGUGAAUCUGACCACAAGGACAAUUCGGACAACCUGAAAUGGUGACGCAUUCUACAAAAUAAACAUCAAUGUCAUGAAAGACAAAGACUCAAGAUUUUCUGCUUAAUGGAGACUAAAGAGAUGCGACAACAGAAUGCCAGGCAUGAUCUUGGAUAUUCUUUUGGCUCAAACAGUCUUAGGACAAUUGAAAAAACGUGAAUGAGGUCUGUAGCUAAUAGAAUUGUGUCAAUGCCACAUCCUUGGUUUUGUUAAUUGCAUUGUGGUUACAGAAGAGAAUCCCUUUGUUUUCAGGAAAUGCACACAGCAGUAUUUAAUAGUAAAGGCACAUCUUGUCUGCAA
This 1258-nucleotide long non-coding RNA is filed under the name Homo sapiens (human). RNAcentral's name for it is "HSALNT0387649". The record is from RNAcentral. Lineage: Eukaryota; Metazoa; Chordata; Mammalia; Primates; Hominidae.